RNAcentral lists this ribosomal RNA (253 nucleotides) under uncultured bacterium. RNAcentral's name for it is "partial 16S ribosomal RNA". It matches the Rfam family "Bacterial small subunit ribosomal RNA", at positions 524 to 776 of the family's 1533-position model. The record is from RNAcentral.
UACGUAGGGUGCAAGCGUUAAUCGGAAUUAUUGGGCGUAAAGAGCUCGUAGGCGGCUUGUCACGUCGGAUGUGAAAGCCCGAGGCUUAACCUCGGGUCUGCAUUCGAUACGGGCUAGCUAGAGUGUGGUAGGGGAGAUCGGAAUUCCUGGUGUAGCGGUGAAAUGCGCAGAUAUCAGGAGGAACACCGGUGGCGAAGGCGGAUCUCUGGGCCAUUACUGACGCUGAGGAGCGAAAGCGUGGGGAGCGAACAGG